Molecule: ribosomal RNA, 201 nt
Filed under: uncultured bacterium
Lineage: Bacteria
Description: partial 16S ribosomal RNA
Rfam family: Bacterial small subunit ribosomal RNA
Source: RNAcentral
UACAGAGGGUGCGAGCGUUGUCCGGAAUCACUGGGCGUAAAGGGCGCGUAGGUGGCGACCCAAGUCGAUGGUGAAAGCUCGCCGCUCAACGGCGAGUCGGCCACCGAUACUGGGUUGCUCGAGCACUGUAGAGGCUAAUGGAAUUCCGGGUGUAGCGGUGGAAUGCGUAGAGAUCCGGAAGAACGACCGGUGGCGAAGGCG